This 460-nucleotide ribosomal RNA is filed under the name uncultured bacterium. Its description in RNAcentral is "partial 16S ribosomal RNA". It matches the Rfam family "Bacterial small subunit ribosomal RNA", at positions 338 to 795 of the family's 1533-position model. The record is from RNAcentral.
CCUACGGGAGGCAGCAGUGAGGAAUAUUGGUCAAUGGGCGCGAGCCUGAACCAGCCAAGUCGCGUGAGGGAGGACGGCCCUACGGGUUGUAAACCUCUUUUGCCGGGGAGCAACGGGCGCCACGUGUGGCGUCACUGAGAGUACCCGGAGAAAAAGCAUCGGCUAACUCCGUGCCAGCAGCCGCGGUAAUACGGAGGAUGCGAGCGUUAGCCGGAGUUAUUGGGUUGAAAGGGUGCGUAGGCGGAGCGUUAAGUCAGUGGUCAAGUUGGGGGGCUCAACCCGUUCCCGCCAUUGAGACUGGCGUUCUUGAGUGGAAGAGAAGUAUGCGGAAUGCGUGGUGUAGCGGUGAAAUGCAUAGAUAUCACGCAGAACCCCGAUUGCGAAGGCAGCAUGCCGGCUUCCGACUGACGCUGAAGCACGAAAGCGUGGGGAUCGAACAGGAUUAGAUACCCGGGUAGUC